Molecule: long non-coding RNA, 1289 nt
Filed under: Olea europaea subsp. europaea
Lineage: Eukaryota; Viridiplantae; Streptophyta; Magnoliopsida; Lamiales; Oleaceae
Source: RNAcentral
AUUUUAAACCACGACCUUACCUACCUAUUGACAAGGUCAGCAGUGACAACUCAUUAUUCUUGUCAUUUCUCCCCCAACUUGUUUUUCCUUUAAAGAAGUGUUUCAUCAGAUACUUCAAUGCCAGAAAACAGUAAGUCGUUUUGGUCUUCGUUCAUUUCCACAUAAUUGAUCACUUUCUUCUCUCAUGCUAGAUUCAUCCUCUUGUAAAAAUACCCCUGAAAAUAAUAAUCCGUCUGCAGGUACUUGAUCGCCGAUCUUCAAGCAAACCACGUAUCGAACAACAAUGUCCAAUAUGGAUAUAUUGAUGCCUCCAACAAUUAUCCAAAUCUGACGCUGUUGUUGGAGACGAGGUUUGUUUGAAGAUCGGCAAUCAAGCACCUGCAGACGGAUUAUUUUUUUCAGUGGUAUUUUUACAAGAGGAUGAAUCUAGCAUGAGAGAAGAAAGUGAUCGAUCAUGUUGAAAUGAAUCAAGCUCAAAAUCCCUUCUCGUUUUCUGGCACACAGGUAACUGAUGGGUUUCAUACGAAUGAACACAGCUUGGAGAGAAAUGGUAAGCACAUUUUAGUCGAGAAUCAAAAUUGAGCAAACUUCGCAUCUUCAAACUCGAUUAAACAGGCCGACUUCAUCAAUAGGUAUGGUUGGCUUAGAAGUAGCAUUACUAGUACUUGUCGUGCUGUUGGUUCGACUAUUCUUGGGGAACUCAACAGAUGAACACUUACGGGAUUAAAGAGUUCAAAUUCAAUGAAAUGUUGAUGAUGUGAUCAAUGGUGUAUUUGGAAUUCUUGCUGCUGCAGUAAAAAUUGUAAUCUUUGCAAUUCCACAAGGAUUGACUUCGGUAGUCACACACUCUUGCAUAUUCUAUGAGCCUAUGGUUCUCUUCUUUUUGAAUGCUUCUAUACAUUCAUUUCGGUUUUGGUAACUUGUCAAGUGUGUCAUAUAGUGCACGUAAUAAUACCGUAAGGGCAUAAUUGAAGAGCUGAAUGAAGUAUGGUAGUGUAAAAGAGUCAAGUCCAUGAGAUCUAGCUCGGAAAGAAAGCUUGUGCAGAAACUGUUUGUGUGUCGAACAAAGACACUUAUGAAGUGUAGCUGCAUCUUGGCUUCUUGGUUGGCAUUACAGUGCAAGAAAGAUUGAUAUUGUUACAUGGAUUGGAAGAACUUCACAAUUAUGUAUUUAUAUAAGGAUCGAUUCACAAUAUUACUGCUUUUCAUCUGUAAUUUCGAAAAACCAAUAGAAUGAUUGUGUUAUUUGUAAUUUUUUAAAAAUAUAUAUCAUAUUUCAUGAUUUUUCU